CUCUGAAAAUCUUUACAAAAUCUCUAAGAGAUUUUUGGUCUCUAAAGUAUGGAGCAUAAGAACUUAAGGAUAAUAGAUUGAUGGAAAAUAGUGAUAUUAACCACUAAACAAAAACCAUAUUCAAGUUUAUAAAUAGGGAUCCAUAUCCCCUCAAUUGUGCAAACCAUUCACAGUGUGUCUUCACACACUUAAAACUUCACACAACCAACCCUCACUACCCACCUCCCUCUCGAUUCUUUUUCAGUAAACAUAAAGAACUCAUGACACACACACAUAAAAUACCCUCUCCCUCUCACUAUUACCUAAACAAACACAGAGAAAUCAAUUUCUCACCCAAACCACACACACACCUUUCGGUCCCUCUCUCCCUCGUCGACGUCUGACCACCGGUAAAUCGAUGGAGCCGGCGACUCCCCUCUCUCCGGCGACUUUCACCUGCAACACCACUCCCUUUUCACCGAUCGUACCCCCCCCCCCUGUGCUGAUUAUCGGCUGAUGGUGGUGGCGGCACGGCAUCAACGAGCCGGUGGUGGUGCGGCGGCUGCUAUCAGGGAGGAGAGAGAGAGACUCGGAGGAAAGAGAGAGCGGCGGUGGCGGUGGAUCCUCACGGCGGCGACGGUGGCGGCGUGGUUUUGUUCAGCGGCGGAGGUGGACGCGGGACCCACAACAGGUGGCAGUGGAUGGUGUCGAUAGGCAGCAGAUGAAAGAGAGAGAGAGAGCUGAGAAGAAUGAAAGAACCGGCGGUCGGUGCCUUUGACCGCCGGACAUUGUGUUUAUCCGGCAAAGUUCACCGGUUUCGGGUUGUUCAAGUCUUGAUUCAGAUCCGAAGUGGUUCGAGUCUUGUUCGGGUCUCGCGGCACGGUUCAAAACGGGUCAGCAGCUCAGUCAAACGGCUCGGUUCGGUUUGACUCGGUCAAACCGAGUCAACUCAGUGUUCGGGUCAGCCGGUUCGCAACAGUAUAUGAUUUUGGUUUCGGUUCAGAUUCGCAUAUGGGGCUCGCAGAUCAAGUCUUGCGAUUCGGCCCGGGUCGACUCGGUCAAACCCGAGUCAACUCAGUUAACGCAGUCAAAGCAAGUCAACUCAGUUGACUUGGUCAACCCAGUCAACCCUUUCAGCAAUCGACACGAGAGUUUUGGGUAAUAGUUAAAGCCGUAGUUUCGUUAUGUUAUUUUUAUAAUUUUUAUCUAACGUGACAAACGAGCUCGAACCGACUAACGAAUCUGCAUUUAGUGAGUUGAUUAUUCAUAUUUGGCAUUUUGAUAAA
This is a long non-coding RNA of Helianthus annuus (common sunflower), 1265 nucleotides long. RefSeq lists it as uncharacterized. The record is from RefSeq and is a predicted model, not a curated record. NCBI's taxonomy places the organism in Eukaryota, Viridiplantae, Streptophyta, Magnoliopsida, Asterales, Asteraceae. The transcript is spliced from 2 exons.